RNAcentral lists this ribosomal RNA (253 nucleotides) under uncultured bacterium. Its description in RNAcentral is "partial 16S ribosomal RNA". It matches the Rfam family "Bacterial small subunit ribosomal RNA", at positions 524 to 776 of the family's 1533-position model. The record is from RNAcentral.
GACGGAGGGGGCAAGCGUUAUCCGGAAUCACUGGGCGUAAAGCGCCCGUAGGUGGCGAUUUAAGUCUGAGGUGCAAGACCCUGGCUCAACUGGAAGAGAGCGUGGGAAACUGAGUGGCUAGAGGCGAGGAGAGGUGGAUGGAAUUCCCGGUGUAGCGGUGGAAUGCGUAGAUACAGGGAGGAACACCGGAGGCGAAAGCGAUCCCCUAGCGUUCGCCUGACACUCAUGUGCGAAAGCGUGGGGAGCGAAUGGG